This 253-nucleotide ribosomal RNA is filed under the name uncultured bacterium. Its description in RNAcentral is "partial 16S ribosomal RNA". It matches the Rfam family "Bacterial small subunit ribosomal RNA", at positions 524 to 776 of the family's 1533-position model. The record is from RNAcentral.
UACAGAGGUCCCGAGCGUUGCUCGGAAUCACUGGGCGUAAAGGGUGCGUAGGCGGGUCUUUAAGUCAGGGGUGAAAUCCUGGAGCUCAACUCCAGAACUGCCUUUGAUACUGAAGAUCUUGAGUUCGGGAGAGGUGAGUGGAACUGCGAGUGUAGAGGUGAAAUUCGUAGAUAUUCGCAAGAACACCAGUGGCGAAGGCGGCUCACUGGCCCGGUACUGACGCUGAGGUGCGAAAGCGUGGGGAGCAAACAGG